This 300-nucleotide ribosomal RNA is filed under the name uncultured Paracoccaceae bacterium. RNAcentral describes it as "bacterial SSU rRNA". It matches the Rfam family "Bacterial small subunit ribosomal RNA", at positions 114 to 438 of the family's 1533-position model. The record is from RNAcentral. Lineage: Bacteria; Pseudomonadati; Pseudomonadota; Alphaproteobacteria; Rhodobacterales; Paracoccaceae.
CGCGUGGGAAUAUACCCUUCUCUAAGGAAUAGCCUCGGGAAACUGAGAGUAAUACCUUAUACGCCUUCGGGAAGAUUAUCGAGAAGGAUAGCCGCGUAAGAUUAGAUAGUUGGUGGGGUAAGUGGCCUACCAAGUCUACGAUCUUUAGCUGGUUUGAGAGGAUGAUCAGCAACACUGGGACUGAGACACGGCCCAGACUCCUACGGGAGGCAGCAGUGGGGAAUAUUGGACAAUGGGGGAAACCCUGAUCCAGCGACGCCGCGUGUGUGAAGAAGGCCUGCGGGUUGUAAAGCACUUUUA